RNAcentral lists this long non-coding RNA (1175 nucleotides) under Zalophus californianus (California sea lion). Its description in RNAcentral is "lncRNA (ENSZCAG00015021892.1)". The record is from RNAcentral. Lineage: Eukaryota; Metazoa; Chordata; Mammalia; Carnivora; Otariidae.
CAGUUGGUAAGGGGAGAAACGGGGAUUGGAACCCUAUGUGAACCUCACAGACACCAAGGGAAAACUAGACCUUAAAGUUGCCCUAUUUUCUUCUGGAAAGCUCUCUUCCGAUGCCGGCACCUCCCAUACAGCCCUUCAUCCAGGUCCCCAGGAGUUGGCUGGGGAGAGGCUUAAGGGACAUAGGCAGCAGGUGACUGGAAAAACCGGCCCCCCUCCCCCACCCCUUCAAUUGUUAGGGGGACAGAACUGCCAGUGAGGGCCGUGCUCGCUCGAGGAGGUGCUUAACGGGAAUCCUCUCAUUUUGGUAGAGGAAACUGAGGAUCAGAGACGAAUCCGCUUUACCCAAGGUCACAGAGCCAGUGCACGGCGGAACUGGGAAUCCAACUCAGCUCGGCCAGGCGUCUAAGCCGGGCUGGAUCGCCCGCCGCGCCGGCCCCCGAGAGUCCCCUGCGGCUCCCCCAUUCCUCUGGCCCGCGCCCGAGGAUGGGGUGGAGGAGGAGGGGAGCGCGGGGGGCGCGGGCCACCGCCAGGGAGGGGCCGGGCGGCCCGGCGCGCGGUGGGGGUGGUGCGGCGCGGCGCCGGAAACGGCCUCCAUUCCGGGCGCACGGCCCGCCCCCGGCCCGCCCCUUGGCCGCUCUUCGCCAUGUUUGGCGCUUCCUCCCUGGGCCCUACAAGGCGCUUCCUCCCUGUCUGAGGCCCAUACAAGGCGCUUCCUUCCCGGCGCGUCUGGCAGACGGCCCGCGGGCGGCUGUGGGCGGGAGCCAGCGGCCAGGGGACCCGCUGCCAAGGAGGGGGCGGCCGGCGGCGCUGGGAACGCGCGGCCUGGCCUCCUCGCGGCCGGGCCUGGCUGAGGAACCGGCAAGUCCUUACAGGCCUUCCCUGCAACACCUCCAGGGACUUAAACCUGACCCAGCCACGUUACCCUGAUCUGUCUGCCUGGUGAUGAGCAAAGGUCAGAGAGAGGGACCAGACCUCAGCAGACCAAACCAGCAGCAGCUCCUGAACUCCCACCCCCCAGCUCUUCCAGAAGUGCAACAUGUCAUCACCAUACAGGCUUUCUUCUGGACCGACCGGUGAGCCCCUGAUUGUUCUGCCUCAGGUGAGGCAGGGAAAGAAAAUUUCAGAGCUUGAGACUCAGUCAGGGAAUAUGCCCCAGAAGGGACUUCUAGCGCCAA